UAGGGAACCUUCCACAAUGGGCGAAAGCCUGAUGGAGCAACGCCGCGUGUGUGAUGAAGGGUUUCGCCUCGUAAAACACUGUUGUAAGAGAAGAAUGACAUUGAGAGUAACUGUUCAAUGUGUGACGGUAUCUUACCAGAAAGGAACGGCUAAAUACGUGCUAG
This 164-nucleotide ribosomal RNA is filed under the name uncultured bacterium. Its description in RNAcentral is "partial 16S rRNA". It matches the Rfam family "Bacterial small subunit ribosomal RNA", at positions 355 to 511 of the family's 1533-position model. The record is from RNAcentral.